AGAUUGAACGCUGGCGGCGUGCCUAACACAUGCAAGUCGAGCGGUAACAGGUGUAGCAAUACAUGCUGACGAGCGGCGAACGGGUGAGUAAUGCUUCGGAAUCUGCCCAUGUAGUGGGGAAUAACCAGCCGAAAGGUUGGCUAAUACCGCAUACGACCUACGGGUGAAAGCAGGGGAUCGCAAGACCUUGCGCUAUUGGAUGAGCCGAAGUCGGAUUAGCUAGUUGGUAGGGUAACGCCUACCAAGGCGACAAUCCGUAGCUGGUCUGAGAGGACGACCAGCCACACGUGGGACUG
This 296-nucleotide ribosomal RNA is filed under the name uncultured soil bacterium. Its description in RNAcentral is "partial 16S ribosomal RNA". It matches the Rfam family "Bacterial small subunit ribosomal RNA", at positions 26 to 321 of the family's 1533-position model. The record is from RNAcentral.